UAUUGGGCCCACAUGCACCUGUCCUUGUCUCAAAGACCUUAGACAACUAUGUAUGUGCACCGGAUAACAUAAAAGGAUCUGAUCGAGAGACCCAAGGAUCCCGAAUAAACCACUUAUAACCAAGAUCGCAGAAUUAAAUAAACACAAAUCACACACCAACAUUUGUAGCCGAAAUUCUUUAUUACAACAUGUUACAAAUUACAACAAGUUUACGUUAUAUUUAUCGGAGUGAUUACAAAAGUGAUUCAAAGAAAUAUACUUUGAAAUAUUAUAAAAUAUUUGUAAUUUUCCAAUAUAUGCUAGUUCAGUGACAACCCUCAAUAAGAAGUAUAGCCCAUCGGCACUUAGCACCAUCCACAACAGCACAAAUCUAGUACCUACAACAACAUGGGUUGAAAGAACCCUGAGUACGAAGGUACUUUCGCAAAUCUUACUCGACUAAAGAAAAAUACUCUCAAUAAUAUGUUGGCUUUUGGAAAUCAAGGUAAGGCUUUAGCAAAAAUCAAGCUUACUCAUUUGCAUAAAUAAGCAUCUAACAGUGGAUCCUUACUUUCAACAUUUUAAUGCCAGAUUAAGCAUUAAUUGAUCUUGUUUGCACCUGGUUGAAUUUCAUCAUCACAUUAAUCAAUACACCAAUAUUUUUUACUCAUUAUGAUUCCAUCCAUGACCUACGAUGCAAGUUAGUGAACAAGUCUCCAUUAUCCGAGGAUGUAACGACGAUCCAAAUCGAUUUACCCAGCUGGAGAUCUCUAACCACACGACGUAUGUAGCACCUAACCCUUGCAUAUGUCAACCCGUCCCCUACUAUCUCAAUACCAGAACAUGUUCACGCUAACCGAGAGCACAAUUACUCCACCGUCCAACCACUUGCCACGGAGGGUACACGCUACUCUCACCAACUCUUCAUUCCCAUUGUGUGGUAGUCUUUCUGGCAUUUGUCAAGCUAAGAUUAGGCUUACCCUAUCCCAUACCAGGGCACGUGGCUAGUUAAUUAGUCCUCGAUCAUCAAGCCUACACUCGAUAUAAUCCUUACUUAACCUGGGCGAAACAUCACAUGUUUUUGUACUUGGCCAAGUUUCAAUUUAAGUACUUCCAUCCUUAGGACUUAUUUUUGUACCUUAGGAUGAAAAGAAGAUCAAAGGGAAUCUUGCAGUAAGAUCCGUGGCAAGCCGGGCGGCGUUGGGGGCAGGGGAGCCGAGAGGAGGGGAUGGUGUGCUCUGCUAUUGGAUGGAGAGGGUGGUUGGGAGAUGAACCCUAGUGAGCGACGUCGCAGGGAUAAGGAGAUGAGAACAGCUAGAGCUUAAGCGGUGGGGAUAUUUUUAGAUUUUCCCUCUCCAAGCUUUUACUAACAAAAGAAAUUGCAAACAAUUCCUGGGUCCAAGAAUUAGAGUUUGAGAUAGAUUGGAAUGGUCCGAAUCAAAACAAUACUGACAUCGAUAUUUUAGUUAGUACUUGAUUUAAAUGAAAUCAAACAAAAAUGUAUUCAAGAACGCGCACUCGACUAGAUAUCAUUUGGAUUAACAACUUUGCGCCUUGUUUUUCAGGAUAUCGAUCUUGGUCAAAUUUAUAAAAAUCAAACCCUUUUUGAAAUCUCGUUCGUCUAUUAGACGCAUCCGAACAACAUAGACUUGACAUCUCAGAAGAUUUCUAAAGUCCAAACUUUGUGAAACAUUUGGGAUAGUCCAAAUAGAUAAUUAUAAAAAUGAUGUCGAACUAAGGAGAGACAAAGAUGAUUAGGACAUAUAAACUGAUAUCUCGUCAUUAUCUCGUGCUUAAUUCCAUCCUCGUUAUCGAACGGGACAUAAACACCUGGGGUAUUACAUUUGUGUCUUAGGUCAAUGUCUUAUUGCUGGUUUAGAUUUGUUUUGGUUCAUUUUAAUCCAUUUCAUCCACUGCGAUCCCACAAAUUCAAUUUCCAAAAUAGAUCCCAUGAAUGUUCAUCUCAUCAUUUCGUCCUUAUCAGAUUAGUUUCUGUCCAGUUCGUUAUUUUGAGCAUAAAUCUCACAUACAGACUCAGAAUUCAGUAUUCUUGUACUUCCUGGAAAGCUUAGAAAACUAUCUACAACUUUCUUAUUUACGAGAUUUCCAGAAAAUGUAAGUAUUAAGAAGUUAUUUGUAUUGGAAGUAAAUCUGUUUGUGAUCCUGGAAUAUCGGACCAGUCUAUAUUUCAGGGUCAAUAUCCCCCACUUUCUUUAUCCAAAAUAGCCAAUCCAUAUAUCUAAAAGAAAGAUAAAACAAAGACCUACAAGUUUCGUGUUCUAAGUUUUUAUGUUUGAGGUCUCUAAAUUUGUCAAAUGAUAUGUUGAAGUUAGAGCAUAAAAUCUAUGACAGACAGACAAGAAUUUUUUGAUACUCUUGUGUUAUAUCCUGUUUUGGCGGCACUCUUGUGAAAAAAAGAAUAUAAAAAGGCAAGUGUAAAAAAAUCCGCACAAAACAAAAAAAAAAUCAAAGAGAAAAAAAGUGCAUAUAAACACAAACACCAUUGAUAUGUGCACAUUUGUGAUUGUUUUUCAUUCUAACUUGUUCCCUUAAUGUUCCUAAAUUCUUGUCACCUCCUUUGCGUCUUCCUCCAGCCGUGUUAAUACACUUAUUCACCAUUGUUAUCUGUUACUGACACUUUGCAAUCACACCAACGUUCUUUGUGCAGUCACACCAGCUACCAUUUGGCACCUACAGUGCUGGUAAGAAAAUUGUAAGAGCAGGGUAAGACACUUUCAUAACCUGUGUUCUACCACCACCCCCGAGAGUAGUUGUUGGAUUCACAUAGUUUGUUUGUUGCAUUUUAUCUUUUUUUGUACUAACAAUGAUAGGACCAAAGACCCAAACGAACAAUAAUAAGGGUCCUAAGCCUACUAACGGCGAGUGUGACUUCUAUCUGGAAUUGAAGGAGAUGAUGCUCGCAUUGACUAAAGCCUUUGAGAGCCACACCAUUGAUGAUGAUUCGUCUCCCUCAGGGUCAACUUCAAGAAGGGGAGCAAGGUUGGACGACAUCAAGCAAUACAUCAACACCUUUUGCCGGCACCAACGACUUUGAGUCGAGGACGACUCAAAACUAAGAAGGGAAGAAUGAUGAGUACAAGGAUGUCAACUAUAUGGUCAAGAUCCAAUCAAUCAUAGAGUCCAAUCAAGUCUAGUUUAAUCGCGAAUCAGGUUAGGACUACAGGAGUGGUCCUCACGAAAAUAGAUGCCCAGACCACAUACGGACUCGAAAGCUAAGGAGAUAAGCUUUCCAACCCAACUGGUACCACGUCAAAAUAUGCUUAGAGCUGAUAGGAAUCGUCAUAACAAGAUAGCGUUCAGAAUCUGCCACAAAUCAGUAACACCGGCUUUUGGGUCUAAAGGCCAUGUACAUCCUUGGGUUGCUCGGUCACCCCCUUGGCCACCGCCUAAGUCAAGAAUGACUCCAAUUCAAGUGGAGGAAGAUGAUGAGGACAUCAACCCCAUACAAACAAUGCAUGGACCGACAACACGAGCACAUGAACCUUGUAGAGGAAAAACAAGGACUUGGGAAUAUCCAAGAUGUCAAGGAAGGGGAAGCUAGGAUUUUCACAACAAGAGAAAGCCAAGUCCGAUUCAACUUCGUCUCCACUUUGCAGUCCAGGACCAGUCUGCACUAAAACGAAUGCCUAGGAUGCAUUCGAACUUCGAUUAGGUUGGGCUUUACAUGUAUGGAAAGCUAAGGAGAUAAGCUUUUCAACCCAAUUGAAACCAACUUAAAAUUCAUUCGGAGUUAA
Long non-coding RNA from Zea mays, 3734 nucleotides. RefSeq lists it as uncharacterized. NCBI's taxonomy places the organism in Eukaryota, Viridiplantae, Streptophyta, Magnoliopsida, Poales, Poaceae. The transcript has 3 exons. The record is from RefSeq and is a predicted model, not a curated record.